Molecule: ribosomal RNA, 491 nt
Filed under: uncultured bacterium
Lineage: Bacteria
Description: partial 16S ribosomal RNA
Rfam family: Bacterial small subunit ribosomal RNA
Source: RNAcentral
AGUGAACGCUGGCGGUAGGCCUAACACAUGCAAGUCGAACGGCAGCACAGUAAGAGCUUGCUCUUACGGGUGGCGAGUGGCGGACGGGUGAGGAAUACAUCGGAAUCUACUUUUUCGUGGGGGAUAACGUAGGGAAACUUACGCUAAUACCGCAUACGACCUACGGGUGAAAGCAGGGGAUCUUCGGACCUUGCGCGAUUGAAUGAGCCGAUGUCGGAUUAGCUUGUUGGCGGGGUAAAGGCCCACCAAGGCGACGACCCGUAGCUGGUCUGAGAGGAUGAUCAGCCACACUGGAACUGAGACACGGUCCAGACUCCUACGGGAGGCAGCAGUGGGGAAUAUUGGACAAUGGGCGCAAGCCUGAUCCAGCCAUACCGCGUGGGUGAAGAAGGCCUUCGAGUUGUAAAGCCCUUUUGUUGGGAAAGAAAAGCAGCAGGUUAAUACCCCGCUGUUCUGACGGUACCCAAAGAAUAAGCACCGGCUAACUUCGU